Molecule: ribosomal RNA, 452 nt
Filed under: uncultured Thiobacillus sp.
Lineage: Bacteria; Pseudomonadati; Pseudomonadota; Betaproteobacteria; Nitrosomonadales; Thiobacillaceae
Description: bacterial SSU rRNA
Rfam family: Bacterial small subunit ribosomal RNA
Source: RNAcentral
CAAGCGGUGGAUGAUGUGGAUUAAUUCGAUGCAACGCGAAGAACCUUACCUACCCUUGACAUGUCCGGAACUUGCCAGAGAUGGCUUGGUGCCCGAAAGGGAAUCGGAACACAGGUGCUGCAUGGCUGUCGUCAGCUCGUGUCGUGAGAUGUUGGGUUAAGUCCCGCAACGAGCGCAACCCUUAUCAUUAGUUGCUACGCAAGGGCACUCUAAUGAGACUGCCGGUGACAAACCGGAGGAAGGUGGGGAUGACGUCAAGUCCUCAUGGCCCUUAUGGGUAGGGCUUCACACGUCAUACAAUGGUCGGUACAGAGGGUUGCCAAGCCGCGAGGCGGAGCCAAUCCCACAAAGCCGAUCGUAGUCCGGAUUGUUCUCUGCGACUCGAGAGCAUGAAGUCGGAAUCGCUAGUAAUCGCAGGUCAGCAUACUGCGGUGAAUACGUUCCCGGGUCUU